CCUAUCCGCUGUGGGCGCAGGAGAUUUGAGUGGAGCUGUUCUUAGUACGAGAGGACCGGGAUGGACAUACCUCUGGUGCAUCAGUUGUACUGCCAAGUGCAUAGCUGAGUAGCCACGUAUGGAAGGGAUAAGUGCUGAAAGCAUCUAAGUACGAAGCCCCCCACAAGAAAAGAUCUCCUUGCCGCAAGGCGUAAGACCCGUGAGAGACUAUCACGUUGAUAGGUCGGAGGUGUAAGUGCAGUAAUGUAUUGAGCUGACCGAUACUAAUAGGUCGAACACUUGACCAA
Molecule: ribosomal RNA, 287 nt
Filed under: Candidatus Allocopromorpha excrementipullorum
Lineage: Bacteria; Bacillati; Bacillota; Clostridia; Eubacteriales; Eubacteriaceae
Description: partial 23S ribosomal RNA
Rfam family: Bacterial large subunit ribosomal RNA
Source: RNAcentral